CGAGUGCGUUCAGAGUUUGAUCCUGGCUCAGGACGAACGCUGGCGGCGUGCUUAACACAUGCAAGUCGAGCGAUGAAGUUCCUUCGGGAACGGAUUAGCGGCGGACGGGUGAGUAACACGUGGGCAACCUGCCUGUAAGUGGGGGAUAGCCCUCCGAAAGGAGGAGUAAUACCGCAUAAGAUAUUUUGAUCGCAUGGUCGAAAUAUUAAAGGAGUAAUCCGCUUACAGAUGGGCCCGCGGCGCAUUAGCUAGUUGGUGAGGUAACGGCUCACCAAGGCAACGAUGCGUAGCCGACCUGAGAGGGUGAUCGGCCACAUUGGGACUGAGACACGGCCCAG
RNAcentral lists this ribosomal RNA (338 nucleotides) under uncultured bacterium. RNAcentral describes it as "bacterial SSU rRNA". It matches the Rfam family "Bacterial small subunit ribosomal RNA", at positions 1 to 334 of the family's 1533-position model. The record is from RNAcentral.